UGUCAUGGGCCUUGUACACACAUAAAGUCUGACGGUUACGCCGCGUGAGUGAUGAAGGUUUUCGGAUCGUAAAGCUCUGUUGUUAGGGAAGAACAAGUGCGAGAGUAACUGCUCGCACCUUGACGGUACCUAACCAGAAAGCCACGGCUAACUACGUGCCAGCAGCCGCGGUAAUACGUAGGUGGCAAGCGUUGUCCGGAAUUAUUGGGCGUAAAGGGCUCGCAGGCGGUUUCUUAAGUCUGAUGUGAAAGCCCCCGGCUCAACCGGGGAGGGUCAUUGGAAACUGGGAAACUUGAGUGCAGAAGAGGAGAGUGGAAUUCCACGUGUAGCGGUGAAAUGCGUAGAGAUGUGGAGGAACACCAGUGGCGAAGGCGACUCUCUGGUCUGUAACUGACGCUGAGGAGCGAAAGCGUGGGGAGCGAACAGGAUUAGAUACCCUGGUAGUCCACGCCGUAAACGAUGAGUGCUAAGUGUUAGGGGGUUUCCGCCCCUUAGUGCUGCAGCUAACGCAUAUAAGCACCUCCCGCCCUAGGGAGUACGGGUCCCCCAGAACUGAAAACUCAAAGGAAUUUUACGGGGGGGCCCCCCACAAGCCGGU
This 598-nucleotide ribosomal RNA is filed under the name Bacillus pumilus. Its description in RNAcentral is "bacterial SSU rRNA". It matches the Rfam family "Bacterial small subunit ribosomal RNA", at positions 353 to 934 of the family's 1533-position model. Lineage: Bacteria; Bacillati; Bacillota; Bacilli; Caryophanales; Bacillaceae. The record is from RNAcentral.